This is a non-coding RNA of Pelobates cultripes (western spadefoot toad), 230 nucleotides long. The record is from the annotation of a GenBank genome assembly. NCBI's taxonomy places the organism in Eukaryota, Metazoa, Chordata, Amphibia, Anura, Pelobatidae.
CAAUUGUCCCCAUGUGACCCAAGACAUGGAUGCACCACAGUGCCACCGGAUCUAAACACUCUUGAGCGCUACCGUACUUGUGUGUUCACACACAGACAUUUGUGGAUGAGCCUGUAUGCGCCAUGGAAGAUGCAGAGCAUUGAUGUCUUGUCGUCUAGCACUACAACACACCAACAUUUGAGAGGGAAUCACUUCUCAGGGUCUGUCAGAUUGGAGGGCCCAGCUGAUGC